GACGAACGCUGGCGGCGUGCUUAACACAUGCAAGUCGAACGGAAAGGCCCUGCUUUUGUGGGGUGCUCGAGUGGCGAACGGGUGAGUAACACGUGAGUAACCUGCCCUUGACUUUGGGAUAACUUCAGGAAACUGGGGCUAAUACCGGAUAGGAGCUCCUGCUGCAUGGUGGGGGUUGGAAAGUUUCGGCGGUUGGGGAUGGACUCGCGGCUUAUCAGCUUGUUGGUGGGGUAGUGGCUUACCAAGGCUUUGACGGGUAGCCGGCCUGAGAGGGUGACCGGCCAAAUUGGGACUGAGGAAAGGCCCAGAAUCCUAAGGGGGGCAAGAGGGGGGAAUAUUGGAAAAAGGGGGGAAGCCUGAAGCAGCAACGCCGGGGGCGGGAUGAAGGCCUUCGGGGUGUAAACCGGUUUCGGCUGGGAAGAAGGGGGAGGGAAGGGAAUGGGUAAAGAAGCACCGGCUAACUACGUG
This 468-nucleotide ribosomal RNA is filed under the name uncultured bacterium. RNAcentral's name for it is "partial 16S ribosomal RNA". It matches the Rfam family "Bacterial small subunit ribosomal RNA", at positions 28 to 507 of the family's 1533-position model. The record is from RNAcentral.